ACGGGUGAGUAAUACAUCGGAACGUGCCCAAGAGUGGGGGAUAACGGAGCGAAAGCUUUGCUAAUACCGCAUACGAUCUACGGAUGAAAGCAGGGGACCGCAAGGCCUUGCGCUCAUGGAGCGGCCGAUGGCAGAUUAGGUAGUUGGUGGGAUAAAAGCUUACCAAGCCGACGAUCUGUAGCUGGUCUGAGAGGACGACCAGCCACACUGGGACUGAGACACGGCCCAGACUCCUACGGGAGGCAGCAGUGGGGAAUUUUGGACAAUGGGCGCAAGCCUGAUCCAGCCAUGCCGCGUGCAGGAUGAAGGCCUUCGGGUUGUAAACUGCUUUUGUACGGAACGAAAAGCCUCUUUCUAAUAAAGAGGGGUCAUGACGGUACCGUAAGAAUAAGCACCGGCUAACUACGUGCCAGCAGCCGCGGUAAUACGUAGGGUGCGAGCGUUAAUCGGAAUUACUGGGCGUAAAGCGUGCGCAGGCGGUAAUGUAAGACAGAUGUGAAAUCCCCGGGCUCAACCUGGGAACUGCAUUUGUGACUGCAUUGCUGGAGUGCGGCAGAGGGGGAUGGAAUUCCGCGUGUAGCAG
Molecule: ribosomal RNA, 583 nt
Filed under: uncultured bacterium
Lineage: Bacteria
Description: bacterial SSU rRNA
Rfam family: Bacterial small subunit ribosomal RNA
Source: RNAcentral